This 72-nucleotide transfer RNA is filed under the name Camelus bactrianus (Bactrian camel). It matches the Rfam family "tRNA". From Rfam's summary of the family: Transfer RNA (tRNA) molecules are approximately 80 nucleotides in length. Their secondary structure includes four short double-helical elements and three loops (D, anti-codon, and T loops). Lineage: Eukaryota; Metazoa; Chordata; Mammalia; Artiodactyla; Camelidae. RNAcentral also lists the same sequence under 2 other names. The record is from Rfam by way of RNAcentral.
AGGGGUAUAGCUCAGCGGUAGAGUGUGUGCUCAGCGUGUAAGAGGUCAUGGGUUCAAUUCCCAGUGCCUCCA